Molecule: small nuclear RNA, 97 nt
Filed under: Suricata suricatta (meerkat)
Lineage: Eukaryota; Metazoa; Chordata; Mammalia; Carnivora; Herpestidae
Description: U2 spliceosomal RNA (ENSSSUG00005004701.1)
Rfam family: U2 spliceosomal RNA
About the family: U2 is a small nuclear RNA (snRNA) component of the spliceosome (involved in pre-mRNA splicing).
Source: RNAcentral
AUCGCUUCUCGGCCUUUUGGCUAAGAUCAAGUGUAGAAUUCAAGGGUCUGCCUUCAUUUUCUUCCACAUAAAAAGCUUUUUUGGUCAUUCACUGCUA